This is a long non-coding RNA of Rhea pennata, 2823 nucleotides long. RefSeq lists it as uncharacterized. The transcript is spliced from 4 exons. The record is from RefSeq and is a predicted model, not a curated record. NCBI's taxonomy places the organism in Eukaryota, Metazoa, Chordata, Aves, Rheiformes, Rheidae.
UGUGAAACUGCAGACCAGCACAGAGAUGGUGCUACUGGUGAAAUGUGAAGCUCAGCUUGGAAACUUCUGCUCUAGAGCACAUUACAACGUGAUCAAAUCAAACAGUGUCAUUCCUCCUUCCUCAAAGAGCUUUGCUAAAGGACUCUUACGCGCCGCUUGAACCCAAGCUGCUGCAAUCGGCAGGCUCAUCUUUGGGACUUUCCUCUCAGCCAGAAUCAAACGUGACCCUUUUAAUCCUCAGUUGGUGGAGUGUUUUGAAAGAGCGCAAGAAGAACCAGCGGACAGCACAUACAGAACAGACACGCUGGAUAAAGGUGGGGGAUGAGAACAGCAGAAUGUGGUGAUCCCACUUGGUGCAGGGACUUGCCAACUAGUAUUACACUGGAAAAGAAGAGGUGAGAAGAGAGAACACACCAUCAAAGAUCCUAUUUUCUUAUGUACUGUCAAAAACAUGCUUGUACUAAAGACGAGCUCCUUCAGCUUGCUGAAGUCAGCAAUGCCUGGCAGACAUGGUGUACCCUGCAACAAACUCCAGGGCGAGAAAUGGGAAUUCACCCCCGUUGGUGUCAAACUGGCAGGAUGGGAACGUCACCAACUGCAGUCUGGGGAUGCCCCUGUGUUGACAGAGAUGGGAUGAGGGGGAUGCAGUUUGCCCACAGGUAGCGGUAGGGUCUUGUAAAUCUUAGCUAAGUAUCCGUGUGAAGAUGACUCAGUGUCAACUAGAGACCAGUGCUGUAAAAGGCUGCAGGAGUAAUUCCAUGAAACCACCACGCCAAAAGACAGCGUUGGCUUAAAACUUUGAAUGGAGGAUACUGGCCAGAACGUUGUAUUUGAGAAUGUCCAGAGGAAAGAGAUUAAAGGCUCACUUACGGGUUGUAAACAACAACUAACGCUUCAGCUGCAGAGCGCUUUGUUGGAGCAGGAGAACUGGAAGAGGUUUCUAGAUCUGUCACAUUCUGCUGGUUUUGUACAUUGGAAGCUUUUAUUUUAUGCUGCGAGGGAAAUGGCACUGAGAAAUCACCUCCUCGCAGCCCGUGCACAUCUGUGUUAGAAAAGCAGCACAGGCGUUUGGCCGCCCGUUCAAGGGCGUUGGAGCUCGCGCGAGCGGCGUGCGCGGAGACGCGGCCGGCGCGCUCGCUGGCCACCGUUGCCGACCCGUCCCAGUAACCUGAGCAGCGCUCCUCGAGCGCCGCGGCCACGCCAGCCCCUGAACAGCUGCAGCGGCAGCUGCGUGAAGCGCAGGUUUAGGUUAUUACUAGAGAAGUCAUUAAGUAAGUAAUUACAUUGCUGAUUCUCUCCCCUCCCUAUCACUUCACCUGUUUUUAAUAGAAUGGCUACUCAGCAAUCUUCUCUAUAUUUACAUUUUCGUUAAUUCUAUGAUGUAGAUUUAAUAGAUCUAAACAUUGCUGAAAAUAUUGUCUUGCUACAUCAGUGCAAUAAGACAAAAAAAAAUCAUAAGAGAAAAAUGUAUUAAGAGAAUUAGAAGUUCGAACGAAGGGAAAAGGGCACUUCUCCACCUUUGGCCUGAGAUGUGCCACAGAGGCACAGAAGCCCUGGCAAUUGAAGCCGUGUAAUUCUAGAAUAGAAAAUCCUGUCCUCCCACCUCCAGAAUUACUCUUAUUUCUGAAUAUUUUUUUGAAUAACUGGUUUGGCCUAAGGUCCUUAUACUUCAGCAAACUUAUGCCAAUCUUUCUUUAAAUUAACUAUUGUGGCAGAUCUUACUUUUUUAUGGUAAAACUAAGAUUUAGUCCAUCCAAUUGCCAAUCACAGAUCUCCAUAUUAACUCUCAGAGACCAGCCAGUGAACAAAAAGCAAAGGCAAAAUAUUUCAAGCCACUUAAGUGUUUUUUCAUUAGAUUUUAUCCUGGUUCUCCCGUGCUUAUUUUAAGUUUCUUCUUUCUUCUUCUUUCUUUCUUUCUUCUUUGAGAUACAGGUUACAGGUUUGUUUCAGCAUCAAAAAUUCAUCUGCAAGUGAUCAAAACCAUAGUCGAAACACAGGAACAAAGGAUUUACCUAGUGAGUCAUCAAAGUGCUUUAUUUUAUAAAGCCUUGCUCAUGUUUGGAGUGUAAUCUAAGCACUAAGAUAUACAAUAAUGAGUCCUCCUUGCCCUGUCCAAAUAAACAGUUUAUCAACAAUAAAGAAUGACAGAAACUGUUACACAGACAAAAAGAAUGCUUUGUUGUCUAAAAUUGUCUAUAAAAUGUACACUAAUUGGCCACAAUUAAAUAUUUACUCAACCUCAUUUUUACUUCAGGGUCUCCCAUACUUUAAGAAGCCACAGCAUACUUCAGAAAAUAAAGCAAGUGAUAUUGUAGACAGAUGGAGUAUAUGGGCAGAGGACAAAAGAUAUCACGCCACGGUACCAACUUAUUUAAAUACAGACAAUACAAAAGUGUACACAUACAUUACAGUGCUGCGGACAUCACUAAGUCAACCGUAACAAAAAAAAAAUGUAGGGAAGGUAGGGGAGGGGAGAAAAAAAUUAAUACAGCAACAGGGACAGUAUUGCCUUUGGCCACUGGAGAGAGCGUGAUGGGUUGCUAUGUAUAGGCUUCUCUGAAGUAAAACACUACGUACAUUACGCACCGUUGCAGGCUGAACAGCACUGACGUGAGUUAUGGCGAAGGCAUGCUGGCACUCCUGAUCUCUGUUAUAAAUGAUGAUGGGGAGGGCAUGACUUAUUUUAAAUUGCCUACAAAACCUAAUAAUUUCAAUAAAGAAAUUUUAAAGGCACAGCUUUAGCACAGUGUAUAAGUAGAUAAACUUUAAGCAUAUGUAAAUUUGUCUUUUUCAAGCAUGGAAUCGUUUGGGAAAAAAUGCAAG